This 491-nucleotide ribosomal RNA is filed under the name uncultured bacterium. RNAcentral describes it as "partial 16S ribosomal RNA". It matches the Rfam family "Bacterial small subunit ribosomal RNA", at positions 30 to 507 of the family's 1533-position model. The record is from RNAcentral.
AGUGAACGCUGGCGGUAGGCCUAACACAUGCAAGUCGAACGGCAGCACAGUAAGAGCUUGCUCUUACGGGUGGCGAGUGGCGGACGGGUGAGGAAUACAUCGGAAUCUACUUUUUCGUGGGGGAUAACGUAGGGAAACUUACGCUAAUACCGCAUACGACCUACGGGUGAAAGCAGGGGAUCUUCGGACCUUGCGCGAUUGAAUGAGCCGAUGUCGGAUUAGCUAGUUGGCGGGGUAAAGGCCCACCACGGCGACGAUCGGCAGCUGGUCUGAGAGGAUGUCGCCCGACAGUGAAAGUGAGAGACGGCCAAGGCUCCUACGGGAGGCAGAGGUGGGGAAGAUUGGCAAAGGGGGGCAACAUUGCCCCAGCCAUACAGGGUGGGUGAAGAAGGCCUUCGGGUGGUAAAGCCCUUUUCUUGGGAAAGAAAGGUAGCAGGUGAAACCCCGGGUGUUCGACGGGAACCCAAAGAAUAGCAACGGGUAAAUUCGUU